GACAGCAGUAGCCGCGGGAAUACAGAGGGUGCGAGCGUUAAUCGGAUUUACUGGGCGUAAAGCGUGCGUAGGCGGCUUUUUAAGUCGGAUGUGAAAUCCCUGAGCUUAACUUAGGAAUUGCAUUCGAUACUGGGAAGCUAGAGUAUGGGAGAGGAUGGUAGAAUUCCAGGUGUAGCGGUGAAAUGCGUAGAGAUCUGGAGGAAUACCGAUGGCGAAGGCAGCCAUCUGGCCUAAUACUGACGCUGAGGUACGAAAGCAUGGGGAGCAAACAGGAUUAGAUACCCCCGUAGUCCCUGUCUCUUAUAC
Molecule: ribosomal RNA, 306 nt
Filed under: uncultured bacterium
Lineage: Bacteria
Description: partial 16S ribosomal RNA
Rfam family: Bacterial small subunit ribosomal RNA
Source: RNAcentral